UCCCCUUGUCAAUGGGCAGAGAUACCUUGUUGGUGGUGGUGUUCUUAUAUCAGUCGGGGCAGAAUAGAUGGCUGCCCUUUGCUCAUACUAGCCUGAUGCCUAGUUUGGUGGCCAAAGCUGUUUUAUGCCUAGGACACAUAA
Grammomys surdaster is the source of this 141-nucleotide small nucleolar RNA. RefSeq annotates it as small nucleolar RNA SNORA48. NCBI's taxonomy places the organism in Eukaryota, Metazoa, Chordata, Mammalia, Rodentia, Muridae. The record is from RefSeq and is a predicted model, not a curated record. The transcript has a single exon.